GAGGAUGCCGCGGGCCCGCCUCCGCCUGCCUCCACCAAGAGAGGCGUUCGGACCGCCUCCGCCGAGCCAGCAGGUGAUGCUGCCCCCGUGCGGCGGAAGGUGACACCACAGCCUCGCAAAUGAUUCCACCAAUGCCAGUGGCAUGCACCAGAAACCAGGAAGCAAUCAUACAGCUGAGCCAACCUGAUGUACUUUAAAACACUUGACCACAAUUCUCCAGUGGAUACUCAACCCUGGCUUCAAACUCCCUUGUCUCUCCAGUGAGUUUGCUUUCCCUCUAAUGGAUGACCGUUUCACACCUUCAAGACUUGCCUCAACAAUCCCUACCACCACCUCUUCUGAACUAUGUCACCUCACUCCCAGCUCCUGUCCUAGGGAUGAGGGAGCAGGAGACAAGCUGAGGACAAAGCAGAAGCUGGUGCCCUACACCCUCUCCCCAUGCCAUAUGUGUAACAUUCCUCAUGCACUCCCGGCUGCCCUAAAGGAAAAACAAUGCUUAACUGAUAGAGAUCCCAGUCCUGCCGGACAGGAGUCUCCCUCCAUCUACAAAUGUCCUAGCGACUUACAAGGAAGGAAGAAGCUUUCUCAUCAAUAACCUGACUUCCAGAGACCCAUACCUCAGUUUCUGGAAGCCCUAACAUCACCCUCCCCUCCAUAAAAUUGAGGGAGGCUAAGGGCGAGGGAAGUGUAAUAAAACUGAAUUUCUUCUAAGCCCGAAGCCCACUGACAAGGAUGUGUGAUAGGAGGAAUGUAACAUAUCUCCAGGAAACUCCCAACUGUCUUCAUGCUUUCCCUCAUUAGAGGCAAAAACAGCCUUGACUUGACAAUAACCAGGUCUCCCUUAUCCUGAAAUUCUUCUUUAGCAUAUGACAGUCCUUCUGGACACCCCCUUUGUCCUCACUUUCCUCAGCUCCCAGUCAACCACGCCUCUGUCUGAGCACCUCUUUCUGCCCCUGGGUCCUGGCCCUGUGUUUUAAUAAAACCACCAUUUGCACCUAA
Long non-coding RNA from Neogale vison (American mink), 999 nucleotides. RefSeq lists it as uncharacterized. The transcript is spliced from 2 exons. Lineage: Eukaryota; Metazoa; Chordata; Mammalia; Carnivora; Mustelidae. The record is from RefSeq and is a predicted model, not a curated record.